This is a long non-coding RNA of Etheostoma cragini (Arkansas darter), 95 nucleotides long. RefSeq lists it as uncharacterized. The record is from RefSeq and is a predicted model, not a curated record. The transcript has 3 exons. NCBI's taxonomy places the organism in Eukaryota, Metazoa, Chordata, Actinopteri, Perciformes, Percidae.
GACCAAAAUGCCUCUGGACGCAAUUGGAUAGACCUACAGCCAAUCAGAAGAAUGAAACAUGUGACGUAGCGCUAAUCUAGAUUAAUACAGUAUUU